RNAcentral lists this long non-coding RNA (311 nucleotides) under Hordeum vulgare. RNAcentral's name for it is "long non-coding RNA (HVUL_LNC014972)". Lineage: Eukaryota; Viridiplantae; Streptophyta; Magnoliopsida; Poales; Poaceae. The record is from RNAcentral.
CAUUGAGGUGGCCUAGUGACUAUUCGAAAAUUCUCCGUUCUCUUUUGCGAUUCGAGAAAGUUUUGUCGAGGGGAUUUGAUAAACCCCAUUGACGGAUUUCUUUCGAUGACCAUGAGAUGGAUGAAUCAGGAGUCACAAACCUCUGUUCCAAGCUUUCACUUUAGGUUGCUUAGAAGAAAAAUGAUAGAUUUAGUUUAGUUUUCCCUGUUUUCUGUUUUUGCGUCCCGUAGAAAAGUACCCCGAAAAUAAAAGUUCUCCGAACGUCGUGAAAAUCAAGUAUUUUUUUCUGAAUUUUUUGAAAAAUUCUGAGA